CCAAAUAAUAUACCAUUCGCCGGGUGCCUAACAAACUUGAAGCUUGAUAUACCAUUCACAUGCCCGUAUCUUUAUUUCUAAUUACAUUUUAAAUGAUAUAACUCUUACAUUAAAAAAUGCAAUAGGGAUCAAAGAAAUUGCAAAUCAUUUCUAGAAAUUUCUUAUUUUAAGCUACGGUUCUUCCCUGUACGGAUACCUUUAUGUCUACCGGUAAACUAGUUACCGCAUUGUCACUGAGCUUUAAGCGGCUUGGAAAAUAUGGUGAAUUCUUCACAACACAUAGGACACUUUUCACAGAAAGUUUCAAGCCAAGGAGCACUUUUCAAUCCAGGACCUGCCCUCUACCACAUUACUAUCCCCAUCUGCUAAAGCGUCAUUUAUUCACCAUGAAAAUAGACACUGAAGAUUUCAAGUCAGUCUUUACAAGAUGAACUUAUACAGCUUAAAACAAUUUUUGAGAAGUAUAAUUAUGAAAUAAGAUUUGCCGGAGGACCAGUAAGGGAUCUAUUGAUGAAUAUUAAACCUCAUGAUU
This is a long non-coding RNA of Daphnia magna, 532 nucleotides long. RefSeq lists it as uncharacterized. The record is from RefSeq and is a predicted model, not a curated record. NCBI's taxonomy places the organism in Eukaryota, Metazoa, Arthropoda, Branchiopoda, Diplostraca, Daphniidae. The transcript has 3 exons.